CACGUAGGGGCGAGCGUUGUCCGGAAUUACUGGGCGUAAAGGGACGCGCAGGCUGUUAUGCGAGUCUGCUGUAGAAAGUGUACCGGCCUCAACCGGUGCCUUGCGGCGGAUACUGCAUAGCGUGGAGUACUGGAGAGGGAAGUGGAAUUCCCGGUGUAGCGGUGAAAUGCGUAGAUAUUACACAGAACACCGAUUGCGAAGGCAGCUUACUGGGAUGCCACUGACACUGAGGCACGAAAGCGUGGGUAUCAAACAGGA
RNAcentral lists this ribosomal RNA (258 nucleotides) under uncultured prokaryote. RNAcentral describes it as "partial 16S ribosomal RNA". It matches the Rfam family "Bacterial small subunit ribosomal RNA", at positions 524 to 777 of the family's 1533-position model. The record is from RNAcentral.